Long non-coding RNA from Spea bombifrons (plains spadefoot toad), 1119 nucleotides. RefSeq lists it as uncharacterized. The record is from RefSeq and is a predicted model, not a curated record. Lineage: Eukaryota; Metazoa; Chordata; Amphibia; Anura; Pelobatidae. The transcript is spliced from 3 exons.
CAGAGAGAGAGAGAGAGACAGACACACACACACAGAGAGAGACACAGAGAGAGAGAGAGACAAAGAGAGACACACACACAGAGAGACAUAGAGAGAGAGAGAGAGACACACACACAGAGAGAGACACACAGAGAGAGAGAGAGACAAAGAGAGAGAGAGACACAGAGAGAGAGAGACACACAGAGAGAGACACAGAGAGAGAGAGAGAGAGAGACACUGAGUGGAUAUGAAUGCAUUCUCAGCUGAACAGUGAUUUAAAUCUCCAAUUCUAUGGCGAUGCUCACAGACAGAGCUCUGCAAAAAUCAAAUAAUACGGGAUUUAUCUUAAAGAUUCAAGUUUUCUUCUGCCUCCAGAAUGUUCUCCGUUUUCAGUAACUGCAAAGACUGCAGCAUUCUGUCAAAGCUUCAUCCUCACAUCCCACUUUACAAUAGCUACACACAGUACAAUCAUCACAGCGCGCUUCCAAUCAUCUGCAUUUCCUGUUUAGCAGCUUCCUGUCGUACUUUCUACAAUGUGACCAUGGGUAGGAACUAACUGUGCUCUUUCCUGUCAGCCAACCACCCGAGACGGGUCAAUGGAGAAACCGGAAGUGCAGUUUUAACAGCAUCCGUUCCCCGGUAGUAGUUUGACAGCUUUGUAUUGAAUAAUACUUGUGAAGAUGGCGCUUCGGCCAGGAGCUGGAGCCGGUGGUAGCGGCGGAGGCGGCAGUGUGGUAAAUCAGAAGAUGAUGAUUUUCAAGAUGCCUCUAAAUCUGGACCCAUUGAUAUUUCCUUCUCCGAUUUCUAGAGUGAUAUUUCAGUGAAACCAACCACUUCUCAAACUGGCAUAAGUUUGUGUUUGAAUCUUCUCAACAACAGAUCCCCUACAGCAGAUGUAACCCUCGUGAGGACAAAUGUAUUAAUGAUGAGUGUAGUUUUUUAUCGUAAUAAUGAUAAUAUAGUGUAAUAAUUAUUGAAAUACUUUAUGAGUAUUUAGAAAAACAUAAUAAUUUUAAAAGAAUUGUAAAAAAGUAGACUGUCUAUGUAAGUUUAUUUUAACCCCUUAAAAAUAGGGGUUUUUUUACACCACAGGACCAGACCAAUGGUUCAUGUUUUUACAAAGUUUCUCUGUCUCUCUUU